RNAcentral lists this small RNA (126 nucleotides) under Marmota monax (woodchuck). Lineage: Eukaryota; Metazoa; Chordata; Mammalia; Rodentia; Sciuridae. The record is from RNAcentral.
GCCGGGCGUGGUGAAGCACACCUGUAAUCCAGUGGCUCCAGAGGCUGAGGCAGGAGGAUCUCGGGUUCAAAGCCAGCCUCAGCAAUUUAACAAGGCUAUAAGCAUCCUAGAGACACCCUGUCUCCA